GCAGUCGAACGGUAACAGGAAAUAGCUUGCUAUUUUGCUGACGAGUGGCGCACGGGUGCGUAACGCGUAUACAAUCUACCUUUUGCUGAGGGAUAGCCCAGAGAAAUUUGGAUUAAUACCUCAUGGUAUUAUUGAUAGGCAUCUAUUAAUAAUUAAAGGUUACGGCAAAAGAUGAGUAUGCGUCCCAUUAGCUAGUUGGUGAAGUAACGGUUCACCAAGGCAACGAUGGGUAGGGGUCCUGAGAGGGAGAUCCCCCACACUGGUACUGAGACACGGACCAGACUCCUACGGGAGGCAGCAGUGAGGAAUAUUGGACAAUGGGCGAGAGCCUGAUCCAGCCAUGCCGCGUGCAGGAAGACUGCCCUAUGGGUUGUAAACUGCUUUUAUACAGGAAGAAUAAGCCUUACGUGUAAGGUGAUGACGGUACUGUAAGAAUAAGGACCGGCUAACUCCGUGCCAGCAGCCGCGGUAAUACGGAGGGUCCGAGCGUUAUCCGGAAUUAUUGGGUUUAAAGGGUCCGUAGGCGGAUGAUUAAGUCAGGGGUGAAAGUUUGCAGCUCAACUGUAAAAUUGCCUUUGAUACUGGUCAUCUUGAGUUGUAUUGAAGUA
RNAcentral lists this ribosomal RNA (608 nucleotides) under uncultured bacterium. Its description in RNAcentral is "bacterial SSU rRNA". It matches the Rfam family "Bacterial small subunit ribosomal RNA", at positions 57 to 659 of the family's 1533-position model. The record is from RNAcentral.